This 544-nucleotide ribosomal RNA is filed under the name uncultured Glomeromycotina. RNAcentral's name for it is "SSU rRNA". It matches the Rfam family "Eukaryotic small subunit ribosomal RNA", at positions 548 to 1098 of the family's 1831-position model. The record is from RNAcentral. Lineage: Eukaryota; Fungi; Glomeromycota.
UUGGAGGGCAAGUCUGGUGCCAGCAGCCGCGGUAAUUCCAGCUCCAAUAGCGUAUAUUAAAGUUGUUGCAGUUAAAAAGCUCGUAGUUGAAUUUCGGGGUUCUACCGUUGGUCGGGCUUUGUCUGUACUGGUGUGUAGAAUUUCUACCUUCUGGGGAACCAUCAUGCUAUUAAUUUAGCGUGGUGGGAAACCAGGACCUUUACCUUGAAAAAAUUAGUGUGUUCAAAGCAGGCUUAUGUCUGAAUACAUUAGCGUGGAAUAAUAGAAUAGGACGGUGGUCCUGUUUUGUUGGUUUCUGAAUCACCGUAAUGAUUAAUAGGGAUAGUUGGGGGCAUUAGUAUUCAAUUGUCAGAGGUGAAAUUCUUGGAUUUAUUGAAGACUAACUUCUGCGAAUGCAUUUGCCAAGGAUGUUUUCAUUAAUCAAGAACGAAAGUUAGGGGAUCGAAGACGAUCAGAUACCGUCGUAGUCUUAACCAUAAACUAUGCCGACUAGGGAUCGGACGAUGUUAAUUUUUCUUGACUCGUUCGGCGCCUUACGGGAAAC